Small nucleolar RNA from Rattus norvegicus (Norway rat), 141 nucleotides. Ensembl annotates it as small nucleolar RNA SNORA48. The record is from Ensembl. NCBI's taxonomy places the organism in Eukaryota, Metazoa, Chordata, Mammalia, Rodentia, Muridae.
AGGCCUUGGCAAUGAACAAAGAGACACCUUGUUGGUGGUGUUGCUCUUAUAUCAGUCAGGGGUAGAGCAGAUAGCAAUCCUUUGUUCAUUGUAGCUUGAUGUCUGGCUUGGUGGCCAAAGCUAUCUGUCUUAGUUAGGGUU